UACGUAGGGGGCAAGCGUUAUCCGGAUUCACUGGGCGUAAAGGGAGCGCAGGCGGCAUGGUAAGUCUGAUGUGAAAACCCGGGGCCCAACCCCGGGAGUGCAUUGGAAACUGCCAGGCUGGAGUGUCGGAGGGGUAAGCGGAAUUCCUAGUGUAGCGGUGAAAUGCGUAGAUAUUAGGGGGAACACCAGUGGCGAAGGCGGCUUACUGGACGACUACUGACGCUGAGGCUCGAAAGCGUGGGGAGCAAACAGG
RNAcentral lists this ribosomal RNA (253 nucleotides) under uncultured bacterium. Its description in RNAcentral is "partial 16S ribosomal RNA". It matches the Rfam family "Bacterial small subunit ribosomal RNA", at positions 524 to 776 of the family's 1533-position model. The record is from RNAcentral.